Unclassified non-coding RNA from Callithrix jacchus (white-tufted-ear marmoset), 299 nucleotides. It matches the Rfam family "Metazoan signal recognition particle RNA". Rfam says of the family: The signal recognition particle (SRP) is a universally conserved ribonucleoprotein. Lineage: Eukaryota; Metazoa; Chordata; Mammalia; Primates; Cebidae. The record is from Ensembl.
GCUGGGCAAGGUGGCAUGUCCCUGUAGUCCCAGCUACUCGGGAGGCUGAGGUGGGAGAAUCGCUUGAGCCCAGCAGUUCUGGGCUGUAGUGCGCUAUGCCGAUCAGGUGUCCGCACUGAGUUUGGCAUCAAUAUGGUGACCUCCUGGGAGCGGGGGACCACCAGGUUGCCUAAGGAGGGGUGAACCGGCCCAGGUCGGAAACGGAACAGGUCAAAACUUCCGUGUUGACAGUAGUGGGAUCACACCUGUGAAUAGCCACUGCACUCCAGCCUGGGCAACAUAGCGAGACCCCAUAUCUA